Molecule: long non-coding RNA, 299 nt
Filed under: Hordeum vulgare
Lineage: Eukaryota; Viridiplantae; Streptophyta; Magnoliopsida; Poales; Poaceae
Description: long non-coding RNA (HVUL_LNC001331)
Source: RNAcentral
UACUAAUGAAAUGUAUCUUGAUUGUGAGGCCUUUCUUGCCAUUCAUCGAACCAUAAGUCCUGAAGUGUUUAAGUCUAUCUCGACUUGUAAGUCAGCUCAUGAAGUUUGGACUAAACUUGAAUAUAUAUAUGGUGGGUCCAAUCUUGAUGAAGACGGUAUUAUGAUGAAGGAGUUGGUGCAUGAACUCUUCACUCUUUUUGAUCUUAAAGAGUCCACCACUACUUCCAUAUCCGAUUGCUUGCACACCUCAGCAUCUUCAAUCUCACAAGGUAAUGACAUGGUGAGUGAAGAAAUAUAUG